GGGUUGUGAGGUUAAGCGACUAAGCGUACACGGUGGAUGCCCUGGCAGUCAGAGGCGAUGAAGGACGUGCUAAUCUGCGAAAAGCGUCGGUAAGGUGAUAUGAACCGUUAUAACCGGCGAUGUCCGAAUGGGGAAACCCAGUGUGAUUCGUCACACUAUCGUUAACUGAAUACAUAGGUUAACGAGGCGAACCGGGGGAACUGAAACAUCUAAGUACCCCGAGGAAAAGAAAUCAACCGAGAUUCCCCCAGUAGCGGCGAGCGAACGGGGAGCAGCCCAGAGUCUGAAUCAGCUUGUGUGUUAGUGGAACGGUCUGGAAAGUCCGACGGUACAGGGUGAUAGUCCCGUACACCAAAAUGCACAGGUUGUGAACUCGAAGAGUAGGGCGGGACACGUGGUAUCCUGUCUGAAUAUGGGGGGACCAUCCUCCAAGGCUAAAUACUCCUGACUGACCGAUAGUGAACCAGUACCGUGAGGGAAAGGCGAAAAGAACCCCGGCGAGGGGAGUGAAAAAGAACCUGAAACCGUGUACGUACAAGCAGUGGGAGCACCUUCGGGUGUGACUGCGUACCUUUUGUAUAAUGGGUCAGCGACUUAUAUUCUGUAGCAAGGUUAACCGUAUAGGGGAGCCGCAGGGAAACCGAGUCUUAACUGGGCGUUAAGUUGCAGGGUAUAGACCCGAAACCCGGUGAUCUAGCCAUGGGCAGGUUGAAGGUUGGGUAACACUAACUGGAGGACCGAACCGACUAAUGUUGAAAAAUUAGCGGAUGACUUGUGGCUGGGGGUGAAAGGCCAAUCAAACCGGGAGAUAGCUGGUUCUCCCCGAAAGCUAUUUAGGUAGCGCCUCGUGAACUCAUCUUCGGGGGUAGAGCACUGUUUCGGCUAGGGGGUCAUCCCGACUUACCAACCCGAUGCAAACUACGAAUACCGAAGAAUGUUAUCACGGGAGACACACGGCGGGUGCUAACGUCCGUCGUGAAGAGGGAAACAACCCAGACCGCCAGCUAAGGUCCCAAAGUCAUGGUUAAGUGGGAAACGAUGUGGGAAGGCACAGACAGCCAGGAUGUUGGCUUAGAAGCAGCCAUCAUUUAAAGAAAGCGUAAUAGCUCACUGGUCGAGUCGGCCUGCGCGGAAGAUGUAACGGGGCUAAACCAUGCACCGAAGCUGCGGCAGCGACACUAUGUGUUGUUGGGUAGGGGAGCGUUCUGUAAGCCUGCGAAGGUGACCUGUGAGGGUUGCUGGAGGUAUCAGAAGUGCGAAUGCUGACAUAAGUAACGAUAAAGCGGGUGAAAAGCCCGCUCGCCGGAAGACCAAGGGUUCCUGUCCAACGUUAAUCGGGGCAGGGUGAGUCGACCCCUAAGGCGAGGCCGAAAGGCGUAGUCGAUGGGAAACAGGUUAAUAUUCCUGUACUUGGUGUUACUGCGAAGGGGGGACGGAGAAGGCUAUGUUAGCCGGGCGACGGUUGUCCCGGUUUAAGCAUGUAGGCUGGUUGUCCAGGCAAAUCCGGAUAAUCAAGGCUGAGGUGUGAUGACGAGGCACUACGGUGCUGAAGUAACAAAUGCCCUGCUUCCAGGAAAAGCCUCUAAGCAUCAGGUAACAUCAAAUCGUACCCCAAACCGACACAGGUGGUCAGGUAGAGAAUACCAAGGCGCUUGAGAGAACUCGGGUGAAGGAACUAGGCAAAAUGGUGCCGUAACUUCGGGAGAAGGCACGCUGGUGUGUAGGUGAAGUCCCUGCGGAUGGAGCUGAGACCAGUCGAAGAUACCAGCUGGCUGCAACUGUUUAUUAAAAACACAGCACUGUGCAAACACGAAAGUGGACGUAUACGGUGUGACGCCUGCCCGGUGCCGGAAGGUUAAUUGAUGGGGUUAUCCGUAAGGAGAAGCUCUUGAUCGAAGCCCCGGUAAACGGCGGCCGUAACUAUAACGGUCCUAAGGUAGCGAAAUUCCUUGUCGGGUAAGUUCCGACCUGCACGAAUGGCGUAAUGAUGGCCAGGCUGUCUCCACCCGAGACUCAGUGAAAUUGAACUCGCUGUGAAGAUGCAGUGUACCCGCGGCAAGACGGAAAGACCCCGUGAACCUUUACUAUAGCUUGACACUGAACAUUGAGCCUUGAUGUGUAGGAUAGGUGGGAGGCUUUGAAGCGUGGACGCCAGUCUGCGUGGAGCCAACCUUGAAAUACCACCCUUUAAUGUUUGAUGUUCUAACGUUGGCCCCUUACCGGGGUUGCGGACAGUGUCUGGUGGGUAGUUUGACUGGGGCGGUCUCCUCCCAAAGCGUAACGGAGGAGCACGAAGGUUAGCUAAUCCUGGUCGGACAUCAGGAGGUUAGUGCAAUGGCAUAAGCUAGCUUGACUGCGAGCGUGACGGCGCGAGCAGGUGCGAAAGCAGGUCAUAGUGAUCCGGUGGUUCUGAAUGGAAGGGCCAUCGCUCAACGGAUAAAAGGUACUCCGGGGAUAACAGGCUGAUACCGCCCAAGAGUUCAUAUCGACGGCGGUGUUUGGCACCUCGAUGUCGGCUCAUCACAUCCUGGGGCUGAAGUAGGUCCCAAGGGUAUGGCUGUUCGCCAUUUAAAGUGGUACGCGAGCUGGGUUUAGAACGUCGUGAGACAGUUCGGUCCCUAUCUGCCGUGGGCGCUGGAGAAUUGAGGGGGGCUGCUCCUAGUACGAGAGGACCGGAGUGGACGCAUCACUGGUGUUCGGGUUGUCAUGCCAAUGGCACUGCCCGGUAGCUAAAUGCGGAAGAGAUAAGUGCUGAAAGCAUCUAAGCACGAAACUUGCCCCGAGAUGAGUUCUCCCUGAGACUUUAAGUCUCCUGAAGGAACGUU
RNAcentral lists this ribosomal RNA (2825 nucleotides) under Klebsiella pneumoniae. Its description in RNAcentral is "partial 23S ribosomal RNA". It matches the Rfam family "Bacterial large subunit ribosomal RNA". Lineage: Bacteria; Pseudomonadati; Pseudomonadota; Gammaproteobacteria; Enterobacterales; Enterobacteriaceae. The record is from RNAcentral.